CCCAGAGACCGGAAAGUUGGUCAAACCCGGUCAUUAGAGGAGUAAAGUCGUACAGGUUUCCGUAGGUGAACCUGCGGAAGGAUCAUUACCGAGUGAGGGCCCUCUGGGUCCAACCUCCCACCCGUGUCUAUCGUACCUUGUUGCUUCGGCGGGCCCGCCGUUUCGACGGCCGCCGGGGAGGCCUUGCGCCCCCGGGCCCGCGCCCGCCGAAGACCCCAACAUGAACGCUGUUCUGAAAGUAUGCAGUCUGAGUUGAUUAUCGUAAUCAGUUAAAACUUUCAACAACGGAUCUCUUGGUUCCGGCAUCGAUGAAGAACGCAGCGAAAUGCGAUAAGUAAUGUGAAUUGCAGAAUUCAGUGAAUCAUCGAGUCUUUGAACGCACAUUGCGCCCCCUGGUAUUCCGGGGGGCAUGCCUGUCCGAGCGUCAUUGCUGCCCUCAAGCACGGCUUGUGUGUUGGGCCCCCGUCCCCCUCUCCCGGGGGACGGGCCCGAAAGGCAGCGGCGGCACCGCGUCCGGUCCUCGAGCGUAUGGGGCUUUGUCACCUGCUCUGUAGGCCCGGCCGGCGCCAGCCGACACCCAACUUUAUUUUUCUAAGGUUGACCUCGGAUCAGGUAGGA
This 618-nucleotide unclassified non-coding RNA is filed under the name Aspergillus fumigatus. Its description in RNAcentral is "sequence contains 18S rRNA gene, ITS1, 5.8S rRNA gene, ITS2, 28S rRNA gene". The stretch from base 274 to 427 matches the Rfam family "5.8S ribosomal RNA". Lineage: Eukaryota; Fungi; Ascomycota; Eurotiomycetes; Eurotiales; Aspergillaceae. The record is from RNAcentral.